UUUUUUUUUUUUGUUAUUUCCUUAUUAUUAUUAUCAGCCAUAUUGGGUGGGUGCUAUUUUCUAAAAUUGGUAGUAAUUAAACCCCUGAUUCAAUUCUUUGCCCUACUGAUACAUUAUUGAAUCCAUCAUACAUUUCCAUACCCACUCCUUUAUCAAACAUGUUAUGUAACUGCGUCAACUACAAUAUACUUCUAUUAUUUUGAGCCUCAAACCCAAAUCUGCCUAACUCUAUUAUUGGACCCAUCCUAAGCAUCUACACCAAGUUCUUCAAUUAAAUUGUUUAAUCAUGUACCUCACACAUUUAGCUGGGCCAAUAGCCCAUACUCAUUGUGAAAAUCCUUUUCUCUCUAUUUUCGUUUUAUCAAUCUUCAUAAUAUGGUUUCAACCUGUACAAAAUUUGGUUUGGCCCGUGGACACAAUUGGACUUCGGGCAAUUUCUCCUCCGGUUUACAUCCCAUUUAUAUGGUUUGGGUUUUUUUUAUUUAAUAUUUUCCUUUGGAUCAGCCCAUCUGCACUCAAUGGGUUGGUCCAUUUCUAGAUUUUUUUGGGCACCCGUUAUCAUAGAUGAGUUAGGUCCAUAGAGGCUGAAGAGCUUCUUCCUUAACCUUAAUUCAUCUUCUAAAUUCUUGAAUAGGCUUCUUGAAGUACAUGAACAACAUCCAUAAUGACAUAUUGAAAAUCCUAACCCCAUUACACUGCCCUGUACUAGUUUUAUAUACUCUAACUUUUAUAUAACAACUAAUUACAUAAAUUUUACGGUACUUAAAAAUUUAACUAUAUAUCUAUUCAACUUUAAAUGUACAAUUUUAGAUCAUUGUUAAAAUGUUAAAUUAUUCUUACCACUGGUGGCGAUUCAUAGUAGCUUCAGAUGCCUCUUUAUUUGGACUUAUAAAACCAACACCAAAAAUCGUUUGCUUUUUAUCGAAAAGAAUUUUUAAAUAAAAAGAACCAGUGAUAAAAGUGCAGUUUCGGCUUACCUUCAAAAAGCAGCCCACCCUUCCUGCAACUUACCUUGGUCGCUUGGCGUACGUGACAUUGGGAUAUCUUCUCCUCUUCUCUUAUAGAAGCUCAUUCGCCCAUUCUUUCUUUCUCCACCGCCUACCAUAUCUCUUUAAGGAUUAUGUUUCCAUUUUUCUCUUUGUUUUUUUGUUUGAUAUACUCUCCACAAUUAAAUGGUCUUUGGUUCAAAUGGUGUGAUUUGAACCAUUCAACGAGAUGUAUGCGUGGCACAAUUUGGUUCACCCAUCGUGCGUUUGACAUGUUUCUCCGCAUGUCACUCUCCCUAAUUGGACAUCCUGACAAUUUUAACUAUUGAGGUGUCAAUAUUUAUGAAAUUUAUGAUUUUUACCUCAAUUUGUAUGUUUCUUUUUAGUUUGGUC
RNAcentral lists this long non-coding RNA (1379 nucleotides) under Carica papaya (papaya). RNAcentral's name for it is "long non-coding RNA (CPAP_LNC005561)". The record is from RNAcentral. Lineage: Eukaryota; Viridiplantae; Streptophyta; Magnoliopsida; Brassicales; Caricaceae.